UGGGGAAUUUUGGACAAUGGGCGAAAGCCUGAUCCAGCAAUGCCGCGUGUGUGAAGAAGGCCUUCGGGUUGUAAAGCACUUUUGUCCGGAAAGAAAUCCUUGGCUCUAAUACAGUCGGGGGAUGACGGUACCGGAAGAAUAAGCACCGGCUAACUACGUGCCAGCAGCCGCGGUAAUACGUAGGGUGCAAGCGUUAAUCGGAAUUACUGGGCGUAAAGCGUGCGCAGGCGGUUUGCUAAGACCGAUGUGAAAUCCCCGGGCUCAACCUGGGAACUGCAUUGGUGACUGGCAGGCUAGAGUAUGGCAGAGGGGGGUAGAAUUCCACGUGUAGCAGUGAAAUGCGUAGAGAUGUGGAGGAAUACCGAUGGCGAAGGCAGCCCCCUGGGCCAAUACUGACGCUCAUGCACGAAAGCGUGGGGAGCAAACAGGAUUAGAUACCCUGGUAGUCCACGCCCUAAACGAUGUCAACUAGUUGUUGGGGAUUCAUUCCUUAGUAACGUAGCUAACGCGUGAAGUUGACCGCCUGGGGAGUACGGUCGCAAGAUUAAAACUCAAAUGAAUUGACGGGGUCAUAGCUGUUUCC
This 583-nucleotide ribosomal RNA is filed under the name uncultured bacterium. Its description in RNAcentral is "partial 16S ribosomal RNA". It matches the Rfam family "Bacterial small subunit ribosomal RNA", at positions 355 to 937 of the family's 1533-position model. The record is from RNAcentral.